This 498-nucleotide long non-coding RNA is filed under the name Capsicum annuum. Its description in RNAcentral is "long non-coding RNA (CANN_LNC013214)". The record is from RNAcentral. Lineage: Eukaryota; Viridiplantae; Streptophyta; Magnoliopsida; Solanales; Solanaceae.
UUUCUCUCAGAUUGCUCCCCGUAGAGGCAGGCCCUCACUUGAGGCGCUAGCAUGUGUUGGAAAUAUUGCUAAAGCAAUGGGACCAACCAUGGAGCCUCAUGUUCGUGGUCUCUUGGAUUCUAUGUUUUCUUCUGGGCUUUCCCUGACUCUGGUGGAAGCGUUGGAGCAAAUAACUGAAAGGUUCUCUCUGAGUUUGCAUAGAACUUUCAUGAAUUAGUUCUUUUGUGAGGUGUUGCUCAAGGGUAACAUAUGUAUUUUCUGUGUCUCAGCAUUCCACCUUUGUUGCCGACCAUCCAGAAUCGGCUGCUUGAAUUUAUCUCAACAAUCCUUUCAAGAUCUCAUCAUUCAAUGCCAAGACAAUCAACUUCUGUGAGUCGAGGGCAUAUUACAACGGUUACCCCCCAAGUACCAGAACUGAGUGGUUCUGCGCUAGUUCAACUUGCUUUGAGAACCCUUGCUCGUUUUAAUUUCAAGGUUUGUCAUCUAUAUUUCUGUGCG